This 262-nucleotide ribosomal RNA is filed under the name Rhodospirillaceae bacterium C7. RNAcentral's name for it is "partial 16S ribosomal RNA". It matches the Rfam family "Bacterial small subunit ribosomal RNA", at positions 345 to 627 of the family's 1533-position model. The record is from RNAcentral. Lineage: Bacteria; Pseudomonadati; Pseudomonadota; Alphaproteobacteria; Rhodospirillales; Rhodospirillaceae.
GAGGCAACAAUGGGGAAUCCCCCCACAACGGGGGCAACCAUGAUCCAGCAAUGCCGCGUGAGUGAUGAAGCCCGUAGGGGAGUAAAGCUCUUUAGCACGCGACGAUGAUGACGGUAGCGUGAGAAGAAGCCCCGGCUAACUUCGUGCCAGCAGCCGCGGUAAUACGAAGGGGGCGAGCGUUUUGGAAUUACUGGGCUCAAGGGCGCGUAGGCGGCCCGAUCAGUCAGAUGUGAAGGACCGGGCUCAACCUGGGAACUGCAUU